Molecule: ribosomal RNA, 253 nt
Filed under: uncultured bacterium
Lineage: Bacteria
Description: partial 16S ribosomal RNA
Rfam family: Bacterial small subunit ribosomal RNA
Source: RNAcentral
UACGUAGGGUGCGAGCGUUGUCCGGAAUUACUGGGCGUAAAGAGCUCGUAGGUGGUUUGUCGCGUCUGCUGUGAAAUUUCGGGGCUCAACCCCGAACUUGCAGUGGGUACGGGCAGACUAGAGUGUGGUAGGGGAGACUGGAAUUCCUGGUGGAGCGGUGAAAUGCGCAGAUAUCAGGAGGAACACCCGUAGCGAAGGCGGCACUCUGGGCCGAUACUGACACUGAGGAGCGAAAGCGUGGGGAGCGAACAGG